CCUACGGGAGGCAGCAGUAGGGAAUCUUUCACAAUGGGCGAAAGCCUGAUGGAGCAACGCCGCGUGCAGGAUGACGGCCUUCGGGUUGUAAACUGCUUUUAUAAGCGAGAAAUAUGAUGGUAACUUAUGAAUAAGGAUCGGCUAACAACGUGCCAGAAGCCGCGGUCAUACGUGGGCGCCGAGCAUUAUCCGGAGUGACUGGGGGUAAAGAGUUGCGUAGGUGGCAUAGUAAGUAGCUAGUGAAAUCUGGUGGCUCAACCAUUCAGACUAUUAGCUAAACUGCUAAGCUCGAGAACGUUAGGGGUAACUGGAAUUUCUAGUGUAGGAGUGAAAUCCGUAGAUAUUAGAAGGAACACCGAUAGCGUAGGCAGGUUACUGGGACGGUUCUGACACUAAGGCACGAAAGCGUAGGGAGCAAACGGGAUUAGAUACCCCAGUAGUC
Molecule: ribosomal RNA, 442 nt
Filed under: uncultured bacterium
Lineage: Bacteria
Description: partial 16S ribosomal RNA
Rfam family: Bacterial small subunit ribosomal RNA
Source: RNAcentral